AUGAUAGAGGUUGUAUCAAGAACCAAAGCUCCCGGGAAAUCCUGCUACUUUCAAAUACAUAAAGAUAAUUUUUGGGUUGGAGGCAAAUGCGAUUUGUAUUACUCCAGCCACGUUUGGCAUACGUUCCCAAGCCUAGAGAUGCAGCAUGACUCACUAGGGAUCAUCGGAGCACUUGGAAAACCAGCCAGAAGAGAUCCUAACAGGCUGAGUGCUUACAGAAAUGACUGCCUUGAAAUAGGAAUACAUAUUGUUUCCGUGCGAGUUUUAUACCAAUGCAGUACAUGAGAAGGCACAAACCACAUGCCCAUCCCUCUGCCCGCGGGCAUGCUUUGCAAUAAGACUAGAAGGAUGUUGAACACAAUUUAGAAAUGUGAAGCCGUUACUCCUCCCAUAUGGUUUAUUGAGGAUCUCAGUUUUCAAAGCAUGAGUAGCAGUGAGGCCCGUUAUUCUUUCCAGCAUGCAAAAGGCACAAGAAAGUCAUCAAUGUGAUUCUGUGCAAAGUGUCUCUAAGAAAACACAUAGCGAGGAAAUGACAGAAAAGAGCCCCCGAUGGAACAGAAAGACAAAGCGCCUUCAGGAAAGUGCUGCAAAGUUCUGAAAAUGGUUGUACUUUUUCAGAGUCCAGAUAUGCUCAGUUGGUGAAAGAUGUUUUGCAAAUCCGUGAAGGAAAACUCAAAAGACAGAGCCAAAAGGCUUAAAACAAUAAUCUCCUUUGUGUGCCAAAAUUCAGGAUGGAAGUCAAAAUGAUUUAUCUCAGGAAAAAAGUGUGGCAGUUAAAGACAGACUUUAAAUUCUUUUAAAAAAAAGCCCACCAAAACCAGACGUAGAAAGUGGAUACAUUCUAAGAGCAGCUCAAUAAAAAAUAUUCUUUUUAAUGAAAAUAAUUUAAAAAAUGGAUACUUGAAGAACGCAAAUCCACCUUGACUGUGACCUGCUACCGCACCUUGCUCCCAGGAAAGCCUCUGAGCACAACACAACACCUUCUAGAAGAAGAAAGUCCCCACUACCUGCAUGUGUGAAAUGUGGCCGGUGAAUAAUUGGAAACACAAACAUACAAGUCCCAUUAGUUAACUUGGGUGUUGGGAAACUUCCCGGGAUUCCUGUCUUUCCCAGUGGAGCCGGCUGGUGCUGGAGGUGGUGGUGCUUCCCGGUGGGCACGGCUGAGCCCGUGAACCCCUGAGCCUCUCACUGGAGUUCAAUACUUAAACCUAAAAAAAGGCAUUUACAAGUUGACGCUUUUUUUGUUGUUGUUGUCUUAUUUCCUUGCAGUAUACGUUUCUACUUCUAGAUUAUGGAAUGUUACAUUAAACAAUAUAAUUAUUCAUUACCUUGCUUCAAAUUUCAUUACAGUUACUGAGGCUUCAUCAUAAUUUCACACAGCACAGAGACACCAAAC
Molecule: long non-coding RNA, 1396 nt
Filed under: Falco tinnunculus (common kestrel)
Lineage: Eukaryota; Metazoa; Chordata; Aves; Falconiformes; Falconidae
Description: lncRNA (ENSFTIG00000001073.1)
Source: RNAcentral